This 422-nucleotide ribosomal RNA is filed under the name uncultured bacterium. Its description in RNAcentral is "bacterial SSU rRNA". It matches the Rfam family "Bacterial small subunit ribosomal RNA", at positions 355 to 774 of the family's 1533-position model. The record is from RNAcentral.
UAAGGAAUAUUGGACAAUGGAGGCAACUCUGAUCCAGCCAUGCCGCGUGAAGGAAUAAGGCCCUAUGGGUUGUAAACUUCUUUUAGACGGGACAAAACCCCUUUACGUGUAAAGGGUUGAUGUUACUGUCAGAAUAAGCAUCGGCUAACUUCGUGCCAGCAGCCGCGGUAAUACGAAGGAUGCAAGCGUUAUCCGGAAUUAUUGGGUUUAAAGGGUGCGUAGGCGGACUAAUAAGUCAGUGGUGAAAGCCUGCAGCUUAACUGCAGGAUUGCCAUUGAUACUGUUAGUCUUGAUUACAUUGGAGGUAGGCAGAAUGUGUCAUGUAGCGGUGAAAUGCUUAGAUAUGACACAGAACACCGAUUGCGAAGGCAGCUUGCUAAGCUGUAACUGACGCUGAGGCACGAAAGCGUGGGGAGCAAACA